ACAAGUCACCUACAUGCGUGGGUCCAAUAACAUCACACACAUAUUACUACUGAGCAGAGGGGCUUGGUUUCCCGUUCAAAUCUGGAACAGAAAUUUACCUCAUUGCCUCACUUGGGAAUAAACCGACAAACAAGAUGACAACUUUGGACCAUAAUCCAAGCUCAUCUGAGAGUUUUGACCAGUGAAAUGGCUUUCCCACUUAUAAUCCCGAAGGUCACGCCGUAUGCGCCACGCCUGUCCUGGAUUCGCGCUCGUAGCCGUGACCUCAUCUGUCGCUUUCGGAGUACGCCGGACGAGCGGACUCUCUCCUCCUGAAAUGCUCCACGGACCGUGAGGGGGGGGUGGAUGGGGGAAUGGGGACUCCAUGUGCGGCUUCUCCCCCGACUGACCAGAGGGGGCGCCAGAGAGCAAUGAGCUGUGGACCUGUCCUGCUGACUGUAGCCCCUCCCCCUCUUUGUGUCUGUGAUGCUACAGCCGGUUAUGCGCCUGCCCCCCAAUAGUUACUCUUUCUUUAAAAUGCAAUGUCAUGCAAGACUAAUCGCACGAGGUGAUUAUAACACUUAAGAAGCGCAAGGUUAUGUUCACAUCAGCAUUUUAUUAAUAAAAAAACACAUGCCGUUAAAAAACAAACUCAAAGUAAAUCCUUAAUGCCGACACAAAUAUGCAGUAAUCAUUCGAUUAUGUAACCGCUCCAAUAAAUAAAUAUUUCCAGUGUGAA
Anguilla rostrata (American eel) is the source of this 718-nucleotide long non-coding RNA. RefSeq lists it as uncharacterized. The transcript is spliced from 2 exons. Lineage: Eukaryota; Metazoa; Chordata; Actinopteri; Anguilliformes; Anguillidae. The record is from RefSeq and is a predicted model, not a curated record.